Lontra canadensis (Northern American river otter) is the source of this 312-nucleotide long non-coding RNA. RefSeq lists it as uncharacterized. The transcript has 3 exons. The record is from RefSeq and is a predicted model, not a curated record. Lineage: Eukaryota; Metazoa; Chordata; Mammalia; Carnivora; Mustelidae.
CAACCCCACCUGAGAGGACUUACACCACUCCUCCAAAACGCAGAAGCUUCUGUAGUCACUGCUACUCACUGUGCAAAAAUAUUUUCCAUGUAUAAGGAAAAGCCCAGCCCUCAGCUCUUCUCACUCUGCAUUCACCUCUAGCCAUCUUCCCCAUAAUCUAGGUUUCAUCAUGUGCCCAGCCCCAGUGGGACCCCGUGCUCGGCCUGCAUAACCAGGAAGCCAGCUGCUGUGUUAUUAGGUUACUUGGGGAGCCUGCAGAGAGGCUCACACGGUGAAGAACUAAAGUGUCCUGCCAACUGCAGCAAGGAACUG